CUGGAUGUCCUUGUGCCUUGGUGACAGGGUUGCUGGCGGUUUUCGUGAGUGUCUGACUCUGAGUCAUGGGACAUAACAGAUGGAUAUGUGGUUUCCAUUUGACAAUUGAUUUGUGUGCUCUUUUACUCACUGCAGAGCUUUUAAGCUGGUGCCUAAUUUAGGUUAAAGUUUCAGAACAGCUCUCUACUGCAAAAGGGCCUCUCAUCUCUGAACAGAUGUCUACGGCCAUGUGCUUCUCUGAUUAACACCAAACUUUAGGGUAACUUUGGGCAAGGUUUCUUCUGUAUUUAUUUAUGAGAUUUAUGCUAAGCCUCUAUGACCAUUGUAGCUCCUAACUCGGGGGGCUGGGGGCGGGGAGGAAGCAUAUCAAAACAACCAGUCACUGAAGAAUGGAAAUGCAGCCAAUUAAAAUUAGGUUGCUUGAUUUCUGCAGUGGCUGCAAACCAAUUUGACCAGAUUUUUGUUUUGUUUUGUCUGAGUUGGUUCUACUUGGAGGACAUCAAUUUCCACAUUGCGUAGGCCCUUUUAUAAAGGCAUGUCAUAUGGGUUAGUUAAUUUAGAAGGCUACAAAACAGACUGUUAGAAUGGAAUAGAGUCAAAAUUGAUAUGACUCAUUAAAGCAUGGAUUGCUCUAUCAUUGACUAAGUUAAAAUAAAAUUAAAAAUGUCAGAGAAUACAGCUUCAAUAUGGAUUAGAGAGGUUCUGUAAAAUUAUGUGUGCAGCCAUAUUCUAGUCAGUUAAGAGUCGGGAUGUAGGCUGGAAGGAGUGAUUAUAUAUGAUCUUUGUGUUUAUGUUUUAUAUAAUACUUUAGAGGUCCACCUUUUCUUCUUCCAUCCUUCCUUCCUUCCUUCUAUUAUGAGUGAAAGUCAGAAAAGAAGAUUAAAAUAUUUCAUUGCAGACUAAAUUUCAGCUGUUGUAUAAGACAGUGUGGGAAAAUUAUUAUGACCUUUUCAUCUCACAAUUCUAAAGAAGUUCUGUAAUUUUUUGAAGUAGAGCUUCAAGUAAACUUACUUUCAUUUAAUUAGAAAGAAAAAAAUUAUAAACUUCAAAGCUUGUGAUUCCUCAGCCUUGGGUUCUACCACCCUUGCAGAUUACUAAGCUUCUAUUUUAAAAAUAACUUUGUGACCAUAUCCCCUCUCCUACAAAUAACAUAAAAUUUUAUUUUCACUUGUUAAAUAAAAUUUAAUGACCUGCAAAGUGAACUGGAAUAGAGAUUGAAUUGGGAAUGAAAAGAAAGAGCUCCUUAUCAAUAUCUCUUUUAAAUAAAUAUUAUACAGCUGUGUACCAGAGAAGGACAUUGAGAUAAAUUUAAAAAAAAAAAUUAGAACAAAAGUUGGGCAAGUUCUUGCCCUGAGGGAGCUCACAGUCUAGAAUGGAAAAGACAUUAAUCAAAUAAUUAUAAA
This 1403-nucleotide long non-coding RNA is filed under the name Marmota monax (woodchuck). The record is from RNAcentral. Lineage: Eukaryota; Metazoa; Chordata; Mammalia; Rodentia; Sciuridae.